Non-coding RNA from Paramuricea clavata, 356 nucleotides. Lineage: Eukaryota; Metazoa; Cnidaria; Anthozoa; Malacalcyonacea; Plexauridae. The record is from the annotation of a GenBank genome assembly.
CUCGCCAUGGGCCAUGGCUUUAUAUGUUCUUCAUGUAAAGAAGCUCGUUUUCUGCUGGCAGAAUUGAUGUCAUAUUUACAUUCAGAAAGCUAUAUCUGCAGGUGUGAUGUCAUAAUUAUACAAUCAAAACGGAGAUUGUAUAGGAAAUAAUGACUGAAGAUUGAUAAUGGAUGGUUGCGCGAACUUUUACUGUUUUCAUGUAUUUUACUUACAGUAUUGAAGAUUCUGAAAAAUCCACUCAGAAUCUUUACAAAAUACAAAACAACGGCAAUUCAGAAAAGAAACGUUUUCAUAUAUUCAAGUUUCAACUACAUAUGUUUUAAUUGUCAUCACGAAUGAUACUAGGUUAUAUUUUA